RNAcentral lists this ribosomal RNA (495 nucleotides) under uncultured bacterium. RNAcentral describes it as "partial 16S ribosomal RNA". It matches the Rfam family "Bacterial small subunit ribosomal RNA", at positions 28 to 507 of the family's 1533-position model. The record is from RNAcentral.
GACGAACGCUGGCGGCGUGCCUAAUACAUGCAAGUCGAACGCUGAAGGCGGAUCUUGCUCUUCUGGAUGAGUUGCGGCCUGGUGAGUAACGCGUAGGUAACCUGCCUCGUAGCGGGGGGUAACUAUUUGACACGAUAUCUAAUACCGCAUAACAUUAGAUGUUUCAUGACAUUUACUUAAAAGGUGCAAUUGCAUCUCUACCAGAUGGACCUGCGUUGUAUUAGCUAGUUGUUGUGGUAGCGGCUAACCAAGCCGACGAUACAUAGGCGACCUCCGAGGGUGAGAGGCCAAACUGGGACUGAGAGACGGCCAAGAAUCCUACGGGAGGCAGAAGGAGGGAAUUUUCGGCAAUGGAAGGAAGGGGGAACGAGCAACGCCGCGUGAGUGAAGGAGGUGUUCGGAUCGUAAAGCUCUGGUGGAAGAGAAGAUCGAGUGGGAGAGUGGAAAGUGCACACUGUGACGGUACCGUACCAGAAAGCGACGGCUAACUACGUG